AAACUGAAGGGUUUGAUCCUGGCUCAGAACGAACGCUGGCGGCGUGGUUAAGACAUGCAAGUCGAACGGACUAUUCUACAGAGUAAUCUAAGGGAUAGUUAGUGGCGAAAGGGUGCGUAAUGGAUAGGUAAUGUACCCCAGGCUUCGGGAUAGCGUCGCUUACCUUCGGGUAAGCUACCGAAAGGGGCGGUAAUACCGGAUGAUAUCACCGGUUGAUGGAUCGGUGAUCAAAGAUUUAUCGGCCUGGGAGCAGCCUAUCUCCUAUCAGCUUGUUGGUGAGGUAACGGCUCACCAAGGCAACGACGGGUAGCGGGACUUAGAGGUUGGCCCGCCACAUCGGGACUGAGACACUGCCCGGACCUCCACGGAGGGCUGCAGUAACGAAUCUUGCGCAAUGGGCGAAAGCCUGACGCAGCGACGCCGCGUGCGGGAAGAAGUCCUUCGGGAUGUAAACCGCUGUCAGGGAUACGAAAGUACACUCCGGUGUAUUGAUCUACCCCAGAGGAAGUCACGGCUAACUUCGUGCCAGCAGCCGCGGUAAGACGAAGGUGGCUAGCGUUGUUCGGUAUCACUGGGCUUAAAGCGUGUGUAGGCGGAAGAGUAAGCGUUUUGUGAAAUCCCUCGGCUCAACCGAGGAAUGGCUUGACGAACUGCUUUUCUUGAGGCAAGUAAGGGUGCGUGGAACUCUUGGUGGAGCGGUGGAAUGCGUAGAUAUCAAGAGGAACGCCGGUGGUGAAGACGGCGCACUGGGCUUGUUCUGACGCUGAGACACGAAAGCGUGGGUAGCGAACGGGAUUAGAUACCCCGGUAGUCCACGCCGUAAACGAUGCCUACUAGGUUGUGGCGGUUCUGACACCGGCACGGCCGAAGCAAAAGUGUUAAGUAGGCCGCCUGGGGAGUACGGUCGCAAGGCUAAAACUCAAAGGAAUUGACGGGGGCUCACACAAGCGGUGGAGCAUGUGGAUUAAUUCGAAGCAACGCGCAGAACCUU
Molecule: ribosomal RNA, 991 nt
Filed under: Phycisphaerales bacterium
Lineage: Bacteria; Pseudomonadati; Planctomycetota; Phycisphaerae; Phycisphaerales
Description: bacterial SSU rRNA
Rfam family: Bacterial small subunit ribosomal RNA
Source: RNAcentral